ACAAAGAGUCUAGGAUGGAUGAA
This 23-nucleotide non-coding RNA is filed under the name Arabidopsis thaliana (thale cress). Lineage: Eukaryota; Viridiplantae; Streptophyta; Magnoliopsida; Brassicales; Brassicaceae. The record is from RNAcentral.